Molecule: ribosomal RNA, 494 nt
Filed under: uncultured bacterium
Lineage: Bacteria
Description: partial 16S ribosomal RNA
Rfam family: Bacterial small subunit ribosomal RNA
Source: RNAcentral
GACGAACGCUGGCGGCGUGCUUAACACAUGCAAGUCGAACGGAAAGGCCUGCUUUCCCUUGUGGAUUGCGGGUACUCGAGUGGCGAACGGGUGAGUAACACGUGAGUGAUCUGCCCCCAACUUGGGUAUAAGCCUGGGAAACUGGGUCUAAUUCCCGAUAGGACUGCAGGGUGGUGCCUGUGGUGGAAAACGAUUUUCUAGUGGUUGGGGAUGAGCUCGCGGCCUAUCAGCUUGUUGGUGGGGUAAUGGCCUACCAAGGCGGCGACGGGUAGCCGGACUGAGAGGGGGGACGGCCACAUUGGGACUGAGAUACGGCCCAGACACCUACGGGAGGCAGCAGUGGGGAAGAGUGCACAAUGGGCGGAAGCCUGAUGCAGCGACGCCGCGUGGGGGAUGACGGCCUUCGGGUUGUAAACUCCUUUCGACCGCGAGGAAGCCACCUGGUUGGAAGGGUGGUGACGGUAGUGGUAGAAGAAGCACCGGCUAACUACGUG